This is an unclassified non-coding RNA of Pongo abelii (Sumatran orangutan), 117 nucleotides long. It matches the Rfam family "Metazoan signal recognition particle RNA". Rfam says of the family: The signal recognition particle (SRP) is a universally conserved ribonucleoprotein. It is involved in the co-translational targeting of proteins to membranes. The record is from Ensembl. Lineage: Eukaryota; Metazoa; Chordata; Mammalia; Primates; Hominidae.
GCCGGGCGUGGUGGCUCACGCCUGUAAUCCUAGCACUUUGGGAGGCCGAGGCGGGUGGAUCACCUGAGGUCAGGAGUUCAAGACCAGCCUGGCCAACAUGGUGAAACCCCGUUUCAA